CCUANGGGUGGCUGCAGUCAAGAAUAUUCCUCAAUGGACGAAAGUCUGAAGGAGCGACGCCGCGUGCCAGAUGAAGCCCUUCGGGGUGUAAAUGGCUUUUUCCAGGGACGAACGUAAGUGACGGUACCUGGAGAAUAAGAGGUUGCUAACUCUGUGCCAGCAGCAGCGGUAAUACAGAGACCUCAAGCGUUAUCCGGAUUUAUUGGGCGUAAAGCGUCCGCAGGUGGCGGCGUAAGUCACUGGUCAAAUCUUCGGGCUCAACCCGGAGGCUGCCGGUGAUACUGCGUUGCUCGAGGACGGGAGAGGCGAGCGGAAUUGCUGGUGUAGUAGUAAAAUGCGUUAAUAUCAGCAAGAACACCAAAGGCGAAGGCAGCUCGCUGGAACGUUCCUGACACUCAUGGACGAAAGCGUGGGUAGCGAAAGGGAUUAGAUACCCUGNUANUC
This 444-nucleotide ribosomal RNA is filed under the name uncultured bacterium. Its description in RNAcentral is "bacterial SSU rRNA". It matches the Rfam family "Bacterial small subunit ribosomal RNA", at positions 338 to 795 of the family's 1533-position model. The record is from RNAcentral.